Molecule: non-coding RNA, 692 nt
Organism: Chiloscyllium plagiosum (whitespotted bambooshark)
Lineage: Eukaryota; Metazoa; Chordata; Chondrichthyes; Orectolobiformes; Hemiscylliidae
Source: RefSeq, a predicted model, not a curated record
GGCGCCGCCUCCUCCUCCUCUUCCUCGGACUCGUUGCUGCUGAUCGACCCGCCGUCGACUACCCGCACCGAGGAGACCUCUUGCUCCGGAGCCUCAAUCUCCUCCUCCAGCAGCAAUCAAACUCCGGAGAGGUCGGGAUGAAUUACGGAAGGUAUAAAGUUGCGAGCGGAGGAGAGGCCUUGUCCUGGAAGGUGUCAAGCGGCGGUUUUUUUUUCCCGCCGCCUCCCCUCCCCUCUCCUCUCCUCUCCCAGAUGUUGUUCAGUUCGGGCCUCCCGCCGCCUCCUCGCGCACGGUCCAGGGUCAAGCCGCUCGCGCUCCGCCAGCGCCAGCGGCUCAGAGUCCGCGAGACACGCAGCGGACGCCAACGGGCAAAGCUCCCAGACUGCACCGCGCGAGCCCCCCCUCCCGGCCGGGCUCCGCUUCCAGGUCAAGCUGCCAGUCGCUGGUAUUCAGUUUGAUGUCGAUGCGAAGACAGAUUGAAGAAACAUCAAGACCCUGCAGAGGCGACCAUUCACAGCCACAGACUCCAGAACAUUCUAUGCUUUACUCUUUUGCCUUCAAGAAUAAUUCAUUGGCCAGUUUUUUUUCAUAAAGCAAUGGUUUCUGAUUUAUGUUUUUUUCUCUUUUUCUGAAGUAAGUGUGUACUUGCAUUUGUACUUGUAUAUUACCUACUAUGGUGUCAAUUUUUUUGA